UGAGGAAUAUUGGUCAAUGGGCGGAAGCCUGAACCAGCCAUUCCGCGCGAAGGAAGACGGCCCUACGGGUUGUAAACUUCUUUUGUACGGGAAAAAAUCUCCGGUCGUGAAUCGGAGCUGAUGGUACCGUAAGAAUAAGCAUCGGCUAACUCCGUGCUAGCAGCCGCGGUAAUACGGAGGAUGCAAGCGUUAUCCGGAUUCAUUGGGUUUAAAGGGUGCGCAGGCGGAAUGAUAAGUCAGUGGUGAAAUCCUACGGCUCAACUGUAGAACUGCCAUUGAUACUGUCGUUCUUGAGUACACUUGGAGUGGGCGUAAUGUGUCAUGUAGCGGUGAAAUGCUUAGAUAUGACACAGAACACCGAUCGCGAAGGCAGCUCACUAAAUUGUAACUGACGCUCAGGCACGAAAGCGUGGGGAUCAAACA
RNAcentral lists this ribosomal RNA (423 nucleotides) under uncultured prokaryote. RNAcentral's name for it is "bacterial SSU rRNA". It matches the Rfam family "Bacterial small subunit ribosomal RNA", at positions 355 to 774 of the family's 1533-position model. The record is from RNAcentral.